AUGCACAACAUACAACUCAGUGUUAUGACACAUUUGAAUUUAAUAUCAAUUCUUUAUCUCUGUGGAAAAGAUUUACCAUAAUUUUUUAACAGCUGCAGUGGCGGUGGUUAAUCAUCAACAGCUCUGUUUUUCAUGCAGGCGUGGGCAUAAAUGCAGGACCUUUGCCAUUAGUAAACCUUCUGUUCCAGUUUUCCUCAAACACCCAUUUCUCUUUCUUCUUUCUUUCUUUCUAUUAUGUAUAUUUACUGAUCUGUGAAAUUUUUGUGGGGUUUCUUUCGAUAUCUUGAGGGGGCUGUUUUAAUCUGAAGAAAAAGAUUUGGGUUUUUUUUGUUUGAUUCGUCUUCAAGUGGGCAGUGAAGAGCAUAGUACCAAAAGUUGCUCAGAUUCUCUGAAUUGGGUAUCUUUUUUCGCUUCCUACUUUUGGUUGUGUUUUCCUCCGAUUAGGGUUUGGUCAGAAUGAAUCAUGAAAUGAAUGGAGAGGUUAUUUAUGAUACUGAAUCGAUGUUCUUUUGCGUCUGUGCGUAAAUUAACUACUCCCUGAACACUUUUCUGAGCUCUUUAAUGAGUUUUCUUGUCAUUGGAGGAGGCAUCUGUUUGUGUAAAUUUGGGGAUUUGAUUUAAUUUUACACAUUUCAACUCCAAUGAUCCUUUCGGGAAGUGUCUUGUCUAUGUUUUAACUAUUAAUUUUCUAACCUUUUGUUUUCUUCACUCUCAUAAAUUUCAUCUUUAUUACUUCCGAUUCCUUCGGGUUUUCUCAUGGUACAGUUUCUUUUCUAUCUGCAUUUAAGAAGUUGCUUUGAUUUGGAGCUUUAAUUCAUCUGGGUUUGUUGUCUAUACGCUUCGAGAUUAGGGUUUUUUCUUUCUUUCUUUUCUAUCUGGGUGGUCAAACAUUUUGUGAUUUUGACUUAUUUAUUGCGAUAUAAUGGCUGGGGAGGAUGAGAUUGAAGAGAGAAACAGAGAUGAUGAUGAACAAAUGCAUUACAAUUCCACCAAUUUAUCCUCAGAUUGGCCGUUUAACAGUUCCAGUGAUCUUACAAACACAUCGAUGGCCAUGGUUACCUCAAGCAACCCCAUGAACAACAACACUCCGUGUUCUUCAGCUUCCAUGAUCGAUUCCUUUUGCCAUACGCCACCCACCAUUUGGGAUCACAAUCCCACAAAUCCUCAAAACUUAGGAGCUUUCUGCGAUAUGAAUUUACAGAACAAUCCGACCACUUCAUCAUCCUCACUUGGGUUCCGAAAAGGAAAUCUCCACACCCCUUCACGAAACCUCGACAUGUCUUGGCCCCCACCAAAUUCCGCCAUUAAAAGAGGCGGUAUGUUCAUACCACCACCACCAGCUGCUACUUCCACCAUGCUUCCUCACACUUUAUCCCAAUUUCCAGCCGAUUCAGGUUUCAUUGAAAGAGCAGCCAGAUUGUCCUCGUUCAGUGCAGGUAACUUCGAAGACAUGAUAAACCCUUUUGGCAAUGGACCUGAAUCAUCUUUAAGUCCUUAUUCUAGACCAGUUCAAGAGGGUUUUGUAAACGGGUUCAAAUCGACAUCUGGCGAAGGGUCUAAAGACAUUCCACUUCCUGUAGACUGCGAUGGAAGUCAACCCAAGAACGAUGCCAGACAGGGCGGUUCUGGUUUUUCCGGCAACAAUCUUCCCGGUGAAGCUGAAUUCAGUGAAGGUGGACAAGAUGAUACUUCAAACGAGGGACUUGGCUCAAAGAAACGAAGAAGAAGUGAUCAGGAUACUGAUUACAACCAAGUCAAAAGAUCCCCACAAACACCUAACGAAUCUACAAAAAACAACACUGAAAUCCAACAAAUGGGUGACAAGAAUCCAAAUUCAAUUGCGAAUAAAUCAAGUGGUAAACAUGGAAAACAAGUAUCUCAAUCAUCCGAUGGACAAAAAGAAGAAUACAUUCAUGUAAGGGCAAGAAGAGGCCAAGCUACCAAUAGCCAUAGUCUUGCAGAAAGAGUAAGAAGGGAGAAAAUUAGCGAAAGAAUGAAGUUUCUUCAAGAUCUUGUCCCUGGAUGUAGCAAGGUCACAGGAAAAGCUGUUAUGUUAGAUGAAAUUAUUAACUAUGUACAGUCACUACAAAGACAAGUCGAGUUUUUGUCGAUGAAGCUUGCUACAGUUAAUCCCCGAAUGGAUUUUAACCUUGAAGGACUUAUAGCAAAAGAUAUGCUUGAAUCGCGAGGGGUGCCUUCUGCUACACUUGGUUUUGGUGCUGACAUGGCAAUGGCUUAUAAUCCAUCACAAAUGGCAAUCAUGCAAGGUGGAAUUUCUGGUUUAGGAAGCUCAUCAGAUGCAGUGAGAAGAACAAUUAAUUCCCAUUUAAUGGCUAUUGGUGGAGUAUAUAAAGAUCCUACUUCUCAGACAGGUACCUAGCUCGUGGGAUGAUGAGCUGAAUAACAUAGUCCAAAUGGGAUUAAAUCCUAGUAGUACUCAAAAUUUAGGAUCAACACCUCCAAGUCAUCUGAAAGCUGAACCCUAAAAGAGAUAUAUUAGGUUUCAAGAAAAGGGUUGUCAUGUAAUUAAUCAGUGGAUAUUCUUUUUGGUUAAUCUCUAUAUAGAAAACAGCAAAAGAAGGUUGAUACAUAUAAUCAUAUAAUAGCAAGAUGGGAGUCGAGUUGCUCAUUAGUUGAAAAAAAAGAGUUUUUUUUUUUUUUGCUUAAAUUGUAAAGCAACUGAAAUGCAGAAGUAUCAGCAUUGUGUGUGUGGAACGUUUUAUUUUGUCAAAAAUCUUUGUUUAGUUUUA
RNA transcript from Lactuca sativa (garden lettuce), 2750 nucleotides. It is a transcript of the gene named basic helix-loop-helix (bHLH) DNA-binding superfamily protein, with no coding region annotated. NCBI's taxonomy places the organism in Eukaryota, Viridiplantae, Streptophyta, Magnoliopsida, Asterales, Asteraceae. The record is from RefSeq and is a predicted model, not a curated record.